GAUGAACGCUGGCGGCGUGCCUAAUACAUGCAAGUCGAGCGAACAGACGAGGAGCUUGCUCCUCUGACGUUAGCGGCGGACGGGUGAGUAACACGUGGAUAACCUACCUAUAAGACUGGGAUAACUUCGGGAAACCGGAGCUAAUACCGGAUAAUAUAUUGAACCGCAUGGUUCAAUAGUGAAAGACGGUUUUGCUGUCACUUAUAGAUGGAUCCGCGCCGCAUUAGCUAGUUGGUAAGGUAACGGCUUACCAAGGCAACGAUGCGUAGCCGACCUGAGAGGGUGAUCGGCCACACUGGAACUGAGACACGGUCCAGACUCCUACGGGAGGCAGCAGUAGGGAAUCUUCCGCAAUGGGCGAAAGCCUGACGGAGCAACGCCACGUGAGUGAUGAAGGUCUUCGGAUCGUAAAACGCUGUUAUUAGGGAAGAACAAAUGUGUAAGUAACGAUGCACGUCUUGACGGUACCUAAUCAGAAAGCCACGGCUAACUACGU
RNAcentral lists this ribosomal RNA (496 nucleotides) under uncultured bacterium. Its description in RNAcentral is "partial 16S ribosomal RNA". It matches the Rfam family "Bacterial small subunit ribosomal RNA", at positions 28 to 506 of the family's 1533-position model. The record is from RNAcentral.